Panicum hallii is the source of this 1545-nucleotide long non-coding RNA. RefSeq lists it as uncharacterized. The transcript is spliced from 7 exons. The record is from RefSeq and is a predicted model, not a curated record. Lineage: Eukaryota; Viridiplantae; Streptophyta; Magnoliopsida; Poales; Poaceae.
ACCAGGAUCCGCUCCGUCCGGUCACCCAGCUGCGAGAACAUCAGCCCGUACACCGUCCACGCCGCAGGGUCCGCCCAGUACACCCACCGCCACCACACGGGCAUCAGCUGCACCAUCGGUUACCAUUCCUCUUCGUCAGGGAUACCUCAUACCUCUCUCGCGAUGAUGAAGCCGGAGAAGACGUUCCAGAAGAUGAAGAUGAGGAACGACAGCCCCAUGGCGAUCUCGAUGUUGGGGGUCAGCGCCACCGUCAUCAUCCCGUACAGCGUGUAGUACAUGAAGCUCAUCACCAGGUACAGGAAGAACCAGAAGAACUUGCCCGCAGUCAGCUCGAACCCGAUCAUUGGGUACACGAUCGACGAGAAGAUCAGCACCUGCACCAGCAUGUAAGAACGUUACCUGAGCAAUGGCGUAGGCCAUGGUGGAGUACAUGCCUGCCGCCUUUUCGCGGUAGAGCACGACUCUCUCCGUUGCCACCACGGGCUGCAGGAUGCUGCAAUUCAUGAAACCCAGGAACAGUGCCGACGCGUAUACGAUCCCAAGUGAAUGGGGACGUCCAAUAUCCCCAGCGCAACCAUGGUUGGAGAUCAUCUGUUUAAUGUACAGAACUGUAUUGUUCGUACUACACAGUUUUUCUUCUGCUAGUCGAGGGAGAUAUGACAUUCGGAAUGCUUCUGCAAAUUUUUCAAUUGAAUGGUACUGAUACUUAUUUGGAUCGCCAGCCCAGUACUGCUUUUGGUCCAUCUUUGAGGUUACCUGGUCAGUGGCCAAUUGGAGAAAAAAUAUUAACAUUAUUUUGCACAACAUAUAGUGCAGAAUACUGAUAGUUACUGCAUGGAAUUGACAUUCCAAUGAUGUUCAAAUGAAUGCUCACUAUAUGCAAGAGGAUGUCUUACCAAAUUCAUUAUUGGUUCCCAGCAUCUUGGAAGAGAAGUCGAUCGUCUCUCUUACUGUCAUCUCAGCAUGGUGAAGAUCAUACUGGCUAACAUAAGCACGCAGGGCCGGGGAAGGCUACGAGCAGCAGGCCGGGGCAUCGGACAAGCUCGUCAUCGUUGCUGCCGCCAUUGACACCGUGUAUGAGGUCGGAGUGGCCGGAUUUAAGAAUUCAAGAUGCUCGCAGCAGCCGCACACAGGACGCCAGCUUAUGAUGGCCGUUCACCCCUGAGGUCCGCGUUGCUUCCUACGCCGAGGGACCUCGUACACUGAAGACCUAACCAGACGUGUGUUGAAGGCUGCCCAACCCAACCAGGGCCCCAGCUGGCUACGAGGCUCUGCGCCUCUGUCUCCGUCGAAAAUCUCAGGACAUGGGGUUGGGGUCCGUCGCCAGAUCGAGCUGAAUAUGCAUCGGAGGCCUGGCCGCCCAUGACACUGCUCGAUCGAUCACUUGUGUUAAUUUAUGACACCAUCUUUAUUAUCUGGAGAUGUGGUCCCGUGCAUGAGAUAGAUAUUGGAGAGUUUAUAUAUAGCAGGAGCCAGCAGCUCCAGCUGAUGCUUGACAGGACACUCUGCUUGUCCUACGUGAAGAAAUCCUCGGAUUUUCAGUUA